CAAAGGUUUGGUCCUAACCUUACUGUCAAUUUCAACUAAAUUUAUACAUGCAAGUAUCCGCACCCCAGUGAAAAUGCCCUCUCGCUUCCACAAAGAAGACAAGGAGCUGGUAUCAGGCACUAAAAUAUUAAGCCCAUGACGCCUUGCUAAGCCACACCCCCACGGGACACAGCAGUAAUAAACAUUGAUUAUAAGCGCACAAGCUUGAAUCAGUUAUAGUUAAAAGAGUUGGUAAAUCUCGUGCCAGCCACCGCGGUUAUACGAGAAACUCAAAUUGAAAGUCUGCGGCGUAAAGGGUGAUUAUAGAAAAUUUUAAACAUUAGAAUUAAAAAUUAAUUAAGCUGUCGCACGCUUUUACUAAUCAAAAACACAACAACGAAAGUGAUUCUAAAUAAUUGAUAUACUUGAACUCACGACCUCUGAGACACAAACUGGGAUUAGAUACCCCACUAUGCUCAGCCUUAAACUUUGAUAAAUUACAUCUACACUCCGCCAGGGAACUACGAGCCUCAGCUUAAAACCCAAAAGACUUGGCGGUGCCCCACACCCCCCUAGAGGAGCCUGUUCUAUAAUCGAUAAUCCCCGCUGAACCUCACCAUUUCUUGCCCUUCCGCCUAUAUACCACCGUCGCCAGCCCACCCUAUGAAGGAACACAGUAGGCAUAAUGGUCUUCACCAAAACGUCAGGUCAAGGUGUAGCAUAUGAAAUGGCAAGAAAUGGGCUACAUUUUCUACUAUAGAAAACACGAAAGAUUUCAGUGAAACCUAAUCAGAAGGCGGAUUUAGCAGUAAAAAGAAAUUAGAGUAUUCUUUUUAAUUUGGCCCUAAGGCGCGCACACACCGCCCGUCACCCUCUUCAACCAACAACCUUCAGCAUAACUAAUGCAUUUAAGCUACUCAAGAAGAGGCAAGUCGUAACAUGGUAAGUAUACCGGAAGGUGUGCUUGGAACAU
This 952-nucleotide non-coding RNA is filed under the name Ascaphus truei (coastal tailed frog). RNAcentral's name for it is "12S ribosomal RNA". It matches the Rfam family "Bacterial small subunit ribosomal RNA". The record is from RNAcentral. Lineage: Eukaryota; Metazoa; Chordata; Amphibia; Anura; Ascaphidae.